Molecule: ribosomal RNA, 413 nt
Filed under: uncultured archaeon
Lineage: Archaea
Description: bacterial SSU rRNA
Rfam family: Archaeal small subunit ribosomal RNA
Source: RNAcentral
AUAAGAGCUGGGCAAGACCGGUGCCAGCCGCCGCGGUAACACCGGCAGCUCUAGUGGUAGCAAUUUUUAUUGGGCCUAAAGCGUCCGUAGCCGGUUUAAUAAGUCUCUGGUGAAAUCCUGCAGCUUAACUGUGGGAAUUGCUGGAGAUACUAUUAGACUUGAGACCGGGAGAGGUUGGAGGUACUCCCAGGGUAGAGGUGAAAUUCUGUAAUCCUGGGAGGACCGCCUGUUGCGAAGGCGUCUAACUGGAACGGUUCUGACGGUGAGGGACGAAAGUUAGGGGCGCGAACCGGAUUAGAUACCCGGGUAGUCCUAACUGUAAACGAUGCGGACUUGGUGUUGGGGUGGCUUUGAGCUGUCCCAGUGCCGAAGGGAAGCUGUUAAGUCCGCCGCCUGGGAAGUACGGUCGCAAG